AGCCUUAAUAAUUUUUUAUACCUUAAAAUUUGCAAUUUUAUAUCUUUAAUUUCGAAUAUAAGAC
Molecule: transfer RNA, 64 nt
Filed under: Maruca vitrata
Lineage: Eukaryota; Metazoa; Arthropoda; Insecta; Lepidoptera; Crambidae
Description: tRNA-Cys
Source: RNAcentral